Molecule: long non-coding RNA, 3401 nt
Filed under: Podarcis lilfordi (Lilford's wall lizard)
Lineage: Eukaryota; Metazoa; Chordata; Lepidosauria; Squamata; Lacertidae
Source: RNAcentral
AAAAAGGCGGGAGGGCCCAGCACCGUGCCGAGCUUUCUGGACGCCGCGGUUCUGGCGCGCGGCAGCCAGGCGGCGCUAUGCGCUCCGCUUGGAGCGGCGAGGUGCGGCACGCAAGUGGAGAAACGCAGCCUCUUGCAGCAGCAGCAGCAGCAGCUCGAUAAGCGCCGUGGAAGCGGGUGGAAUAGUAACCGGGCACGGGCGGGCGCCUGAGGAGACAGCGCGCGCGGAGUUUCUGGGCACCUGAGCAGGAGGAAGGAGGGAUUCGGUGGGGAUUGUUGCAAGCGGCGGAUGCGGCCGAGGAUUUAACCCCAGCUGGGACUUGCUGGCUGCCCUCGACGCCCAUGGCUUGGCACAGCGGGGCGGGGAGUGCAUAGCUCCGGUGAGUGCAGGCGGCUUUUCUCGCGUCGGACUUCUUCUCUCAGACUGGGAGGCGAGGAAAGUGGGUGAGCCGAGGAAGGAGAGGUCUGCGUUUUGGGGGGCGCAUUCUAGAUCCGUUUCUGGAAACCGAACGCGCGCGCGCGCACCUUCCUUUCCUCCUGUCCAGAUCCCACCUCGUUAGAAGAAGGCAGCCCAGCUUGAAAACUCCGAGCGGCUGGGAACGUGCCGAGCCUUUCCUGCCUCCCACAGAGACGGGCUGCCCCCGCGCCGGCUUCGCGCUUUUGCUCGGGUGGGCGGCGUGGCCUCUGGAGGGGACUCCGCACCUUGCGCAGGGGGAGCGAGCGAGCGAGCAACCGCUCGGCUGGGGAGGCGUGGGGCUCGGAAGCGGCGUUUGACCGCAGGCCAAGCCCCGACCCCGGCCCGGUGGGCACGUCCAUUCCGGGGCAUAAUAGACUGAUCCAGGCAUUGUUUGGGGCGGCCGGGGGCGGGCACGCAGCUGAGGAACGUGGCGGGCCUUUUAACCCUAUAGCCAUUACUCAACGGCGCAAACUUUUAAUUUAAUAAUGCACUUUCCGAUCGAUUGGUGCUUGCAGCCCGAAGUGAAUUAGCAAAAGCGAGCCGAGGGUGUGUGUGUUUUUUUGUUUUGUUUGCGUCCGUCUUCGAGGUUGGUGGCGGCGAUGGGAGAUUAAUGAGGCUGAGCUCCUGGGUGUUCUCGAGGAAGGUGAUGGGAACUCCUUCCGAACUGUGUGACUGGAAAACCCGUAAUGUAUAUUGAAUUAAGUUAAAUCAAAGAGGGGAUCGAUCUCCGAGCUGCUGAACUAGGGCUAUAGGAUCUUAUUGCUGUGCAGAAUUAAAAGUUUCUGACCCCAACCUCACCCCUUUUAAAGGUUAUUUAAGAAGUGCUGUCCUAUAAUAUAAUGCACGACUCCUUAAUUCAAAACGCUACGCCUCCAUCCGUCAGUCUGGACAGCCCCACAGUGAUCGUCAGCUCUGAGCUGUUCGUCUGCCAAACACCAAGCCCCAAUUAUUUGCAGGUGGACUUGGGAGUGAGCCAUUGUGUUUUCCCAUAAGAGUGUGCCAUAGACUUCUAUAUACCUGUGCCUUUCUUUGAGUCUUUUAACACCUGUUAGGCACCCUGCUUCUAAUCGCAUUAUGCGGAAGUAAACACAACGAAGUCACGGGGACUUGCUUCCACGGAAAUGUGUUUCAGGCAGGGCUGUUGGGAGAGACAUGCCAAUCCAAGUAUUUGUGCAAAGGGGAGAGAUGUGGCGGUGACUAAGAUGUGUGUUAAAGGAUAUCUAGUUUACGAAGAUCACCAUGAUACUAACUGGUUGUGAUCUCUGCCUUGGUCUGUGUGGUGCUAGCCCUUUUUAACAGAAGCAUUAGGAGAACAACAUACAGUCGGUUUGCACUGAUAGAAAUACUAUCUUUAUUUCUGCUGUAGAUCGUAAUUGCAAGCAGCUUAUAUUUCAGCUUUGAAACAUUUGUUUCAUGCUAAAUCCUGACAUGUACAGUGUCAGAUCAGGUGUGAUUUUUCCAGAAACAAAAAUUGAUCUGAAUCUGACUCAGCUGUUAUCAGAAAGCACAGGAUAAUCCCCCCUUCCUCUCACUGGAACUGUGCCUCUGGUUUGCAGACAGCUGAAUGUAUGUUCCUAAAAAUGGCAUUUUAUAGGAUCAUCCGAAUAAUCUAUUGGUGUUUUUGCUGGGAAUAUUUUAAAAAUACACACAUGGUUACAUUCUGAAAACAAACCUCUGGAUGCAUGCUUCUAAAUUCCUGGUUUUGCUAUGCAUCUCAAUAUGAAACCCCUCUCCUGUGUUUUCAUAAUUUGGUAUGGUAUGAAUUCUGUAAAUGGUGUUCUGCAGAGAUCUGCUUAACAAUGUGAUCAGGAAUAGUAAUUAGUACUGCAAAGGGCCAAUUGCCCUGUAUUUUUAGUGGCUACUUUAAUUCUUCACUGUACAUAGUGGAAACCUAGAGUGUGGGGUGAUAUGUGCAAAUGAGCUGGGGUCACAUCAGAGGUGUUCUGAUACAGUGAGGUUUUUGCCCAUUUAUUCCUUUCAUUUCUGGCUGAGCCCUUGUUCUGCUAAGCGACUCAAUGCUGAUCUCAUACACUUGUUGCAUAAUUAUAUUUGGAGGGGGACACACAUCUGGCACUAAACAUUACAUUUAAGGGUGACUUCUUUCCCUUAGCUGUGGGUUAGGUCAUGAGAUUUGUUCCGGCUGGAUUCCUUGAUGAUGUUAAUCAGGUGUUUUUAGGACAAAUUCUCUUUAAUGUCAUGUGAAAGAAUGUAACUUUUAUGUGUGAGGGAGAGAAAAAUAAUGUAAUUGAUCUCUUAAAGGUAUGAUGUAUAUAAAAUGUACAUGCAACUACAUGCAAGAUGAAUUCCCCCCUUGCAUUUUUAAAAAUCUUUCUUUUUAUCUGUAUGUUCACAUGUCUGGUUUCUAAUGGUUUUCCCAGGGGUUGCCAAUGUAGCCCCUGUGAUGGGCACAAUAGUGCCCCUGAAGCCUUCACUGCCUACAAAGUCUCUGAGCACCUCUACAUUCAGUGCCACCUUUAUCAUGAGCUGGGAAGUGUAGUCACUUUCCUCCCCCCUUGAAAAGUACAUUGAGCUGAAGGAGGUAUUUAUAAGGGUGAUGAUGCUCUUUCCCACUUCUUUUAGCUCUGUGUACUUUUCUAAACUCAGAUUAAUUAUGAGUUUUGUUUGGGAUCUGACUUCUGUCCAGUGCCCACAGCUCUUACUCAAAAAUCUGACCGCUCCUGCAACCUAAAAAGCUUGGCAAUACCUGACUUUACUAUGAAAACCAGUGUGAGAAAUAAGCUCCAGGGGCAGGUGAGGGUUAAUUCUGGCUGCAGUCCUGUGCACACCCACUUGGAUGUAAGAAAUAACCCACACCAAUUCUGAGCGCAUCACUGGCUAAGCACAGUUCUCUCCCCCACCCUGGGUAUUUAUUCAUGUGAGAAUUCAUUUGUAGAAGAUACAAAUAUGUUUAAUGUGCAAGGUUAUUUAUGGAAACGUGUAUGAUG